UACGAAGGGGGCUAGCGUUGUUCGGAAUUACUGGGCGUAAAGGGCUCGUAGGCGGCCAACUAAGUCAGACGUGAAAUCCCCAGGCUCAACCUGGGAACUGCGUCUGAUACUGGAUGGCUUGAAUCCGGGAGAGGGAUGCAGAAUUCCAGGUGUAGCGGUGAAAUGCGUAGAUAUCUGGAGGAAUACCGGUGGCGAAGGCGGCAUCCUGGACCGGCAUUGACGCUGAGGAGCGAAAGCCAGGGGAGCAAACAGG
RNAcentral lists this ribosomal RNA (253 nucleotides) under uncultured bacterium. RNAcentral's name for it is "partial 16S ribosomal RNA". It matches the Rfam family "Bacterial small subunit ribosomal RNA", at positions 524 to 776 of the family's 1533-position model. The record is from RNAcentral.